UCUCCAUCGAAGAAGAAACUUAGGGUUGAAGCUAGAGUCAAGAACAAAGGGGAAUUUGCUUUAGGCUUGUUCUAAGAAGAUACUCAAGGAGCCUUUGGAAGAUUUGAGUGCUUGGAGGCUAGGUUCCUAAGUUUGGAGAAGAUUGAAGAUUGAUAAGUCAUCAUAGCAUUCGAGGACAAACCCCUAUGUUCCGUUAUGUCUUCUAUUAUGUUUCAGACUUUUGUGGGUUGCGUCCCAAAGACAUUAUUACUCAUGUAUUCGUAGAUGGUUGUGAGAUACAUGUUAAAAAGACUUCCGUUAUUAUGAAAUGAUUUCCGUACUAUGUUUAAAGAGAACUUUUAAAUUCCCUCCAUUUUUAUAUGAAGUUAUGUAAUAAAUACUAUGAGCUUGUAUAAGACCUCUUCAAAGUCGAAUAUGCUACGUCACGACUUACGGGUGCCCUCGGGUCGUGACACUCAUAUAGUUACAAUUUUUCUCCUAAAGCUGAAAAUUUUCCUGUAAUCGCAGAACUUAAACUAAGGUAACAAUACUUCUACAGCACCAUGGAAACACAUAUAAGGAGAAUAGCUAGCCCAAUAAAAGAAGAAAAAAAGUUCGACAACAUUUCACGAAAAAGAAUAUCAGUUUCAAGUCUUAAAACAGAAUAUAUGAAGGGCGCUAAAACUGUUUAACGACGUCCUAUACAACUUAAACCAAUAAUUUUCACAUUCCACGUGACACUCCAUAAUAUCAUUACUAGAUACCACUAGACCACGUCUAAUGGUGUCUUGUCACUCAAAGAACACUCCAUGAUAACAUUACUAGUUCACGUGCUAGCAAAAACCCAAUAACAUAUAAAAAAACAAUCCUGCUACUAACUUUGGUGCAGUCCAUAACACUUAUUUGAAUAAGUUCAACAAACAAAUUAAUCAUAAAUGUGCUUCAAAGCCAUUAAUUUAAAGUAUGUCGACUAUGUAAGUAAUUCUUUGAGUUUUUAACCUGUAUUUAUUUAUUUAUUUAUUCUCAUCUUAAUUUAUUUUCUCUCCAGCAUGUGCCUAAAAUAUCCAACGUUUGUCAUAAUCAUUCUAUCUCUUGAUUUUAUCAAUUCUUUCUGAAACUCAAUAUGUAACUUGGGAUGUCAAACUCAAUGCUAUUAAGUAUUAAUAUAUGUUGCUCAUACUCUUAAAAAAUGUCGAUGGGAGCGUGUUGGAUCCUCCAGAAAAAGUGUCUUUUUGAAGGAUCCAACACGAGUGCGUAAACAUUUUUGGAGAGUUCAAGCAACUUAGCUAUUAAUAGAUAUGACAUCAGCAAAAAAACCUUGAAAUCCUUUCCAGGUUAUUCCCACACUAAUCUGCCAACAAUCCUAUGCCCAUCGUCAGCCAUAAUAAUGACAUACCCUAUGUAAUUGUGGGAUCUGGGGAGGGUGGUGUGUCCCCUACCUUGUGAAGGUAGAGAUGUUAUUUCUUGUAGACCCUUGGCUCAAGUAAAACAUAUAAAAAAAAACAAGUGAAAAUACAAUAGCAAAGAAUCCAUGAAGAAGAGAACAGUAGCAACGACAAAUAAUACGAUGACAAUGUAAACAACACGGAAUACUAAAAUCUUUAUCCCUUUAAUACUGAUCCAAUUCCACUAUUCACAAUUUGCAGCAAUAUAAGAAAACCCCACAAGUUCCUCUUGAAGUUGACUAGCUAUACAUUUAUCAAAUUGGUAAUUUGUCUUAGAAUAACUACAAAUAGAAGUAUAAGUUGAGGGUCAAAAUCUAAAGCAUGUUGAAUUUGCAGCCAAUAGGUUACCACUGAUCCAUACAAGUAUACAAAGUAGGGGGUCUCUGGAAAACAAUGCUGACAUUAUGUUCCAAAGCAUGUACAACUGUUGUUCUUCUAUUAAUCAUGUGGAAGCACAAUUGACAUUAAUAUCAUUAAAAGCCAUAUUACUUGGUAAAAAAAAUGUUGCAUAAGCAAAGGCUAUAUAUGUUUGAUGAUCUAACACAAUUGGCUAAUAAGUCGCAUUAACUAGUAGCUAGUUCAACCAUGCUUCAAGUUUCUGCGAGUUAAAUUUCACAUCUUGCAUUACGGUUUAAGUUAAUUUCCCAUACUCAAUAGCUACAAUAUAAAUUUUAUUUCUAUACGUGAUAAAAAUAAGGAACUACAUCAAUAAAUCUACAUAAACAGGCAUCCUUCAUUCAAUAACUCAUUAAUACAUUAUCUACUAUAAGUAAGAAUUAGCAGGAUCUCAAAAUUACUAAAUCAGCUUUCCUGUUUUGUUAUAUGGUCACAGACAAUAAGUUGUAACUAUCUAGAUGUAUAACAGGGUUGAGAAGUCCAAAAAGGACACACCCACGUAUUAAAGAGAUAUUAAAGCAGUAGUAGUUGUUGUCUUACAGGAAAAAUUCAAUCAUCCAAUCGCCUUAUACUUUAAGCAGCUGCAACUUGUUAGAAAACGCAAUGGCAAUCCAACCACGUUGUGCACCACUGAAUUUAAUUAAUCUCAGCUCCAACAGAGUAUAUUGGCAUAGGAUCAACCCCAUUA
Long non-coding RNA from Solanum lycopersicum (tomato), 2508 nucleotides. RefSeq lists it as uncharacterized. NCBI's taxonomy places the organism in Eukaryota, Viridiplantae, Streptophyta, Magnoliopsida, Solanales, Solanaceae. The record is from RefSeq and is a predicted model, not a curated record.